GGGGGACUUCGAAUCCACGUGCAAACCUCACCAAAAAAGAUCUCAUAAUGUGCACAGUGAAUUAUUCGACAUGUGACCUGUGGGAAGUUCAUGCACACACAAUGAGAUUCGCAUCCGUGAUUCGGCCUCAUCCAGGUGCCAGUC
RNAcentral lists this non-coding RNA (144 nucleotides) under Amphidinium massartii. Lineage: Eukaryota; Dinophyceae; Amphidiniales; Amphidiniaceae. The record is from RNAcentral.